AGAACGAACGCUGGCGGCAGGCUUAACACAUGCAAGUCGAACGCCCCGCAAGGGGAGUGGCAGACGGGUGAGUAACGCGUGGGAAUCUACCCAGUUCUACGGAAUAACACAGGGAAACUUGUGCUAAUACCGUAUACGCCCUACGGGGGAAAGAUUUAUCGGGAUUGGAUGAGCCCGCGUUGGAUUAGCUAGUUGGUGGGGUAAUGGCCUACCAAGGCGACGAUCCAUAGCUGGUCUGAGAGGAUGAUCAGCCACACUGGGACUGAGACACGGCCCAGACUCCUACGGGAGGCAGCAGUGGGGAAUAUUGGACAAUGGGCGAAAGCCUGAUCCAGCCAUGCCGCGUGAGUGAUGAAGGCCUUAGGGUUGUAAAGCUCUUUCAGUGGGAAGAUAAUGACGGUACCACAGAAGAAGCCCGGCUAACUUCGCGCCAGCAGCCGC
Molecule: ribosomal RNA, 441 nt
Filed under: uncultured bacterium
Lineage: Bacteria
Description: SSU rRNA
Rfam family: Bacterial small subunit ribosomal RNA
Source: RNAcentral